This 207-nucleotide long non-coding RNA is filed under the name Setaria italica (foxtail millet). RNAcentral describes it as "long non-coding RNA (SITA_LNC006856)". The record is from RNAcentral. Lineage: Eukaryota; Viridiplantae; Streptophyta; Magnoliopsida; Poales; Poaceae.
UCGAAGCUUCCUGUAGGGUAGGUUCCCUUGAUUCACGCCAAAAUUGUUCAUGAAAUUCCCUGUACCAACGAGAAACAAGGGAGUUGGACACAAAAUUGUGACUACUUGAGAAAUAGUUUGUUGAGAACUUACAGCAUGUACGGCUCCACUUCGGAUAGGUUGGUCAACACAUAUAGCAUAAUAGUGCGCCAGUCUUCAUGUUUCAAG